Non-coding RNA from Pseudonaja textilis, 125 nucleotides. The record is from RefSeq and is a predicted model, not a curated record. NCBI's taxonomy places the organism in Eukaryota, Metazoa, Chordata, Lepidosauria, Squamata, Elapidae.
UGAAGACCAUCCAGAUGCCACAAAUGGUCCAGAAUGCUGAUUCGAGGUGCCCCACAAUACACCAGUAGGAUUUCCUUCAACAUCCGGAAGAAAUUUGUUAAUACUAACCUGGCUGUGUUCUGGCC